RNAcentral lists this ribosomal RNA (301 nucleotides) under uncultured bacterium. RNAcentral describes it as "partial 16S ribosomal RNA". It matches the Rfam family "Bacterial small subunit ribosomal RNA", at positions 509 to 807 of the family's 1533-position model. The record is from RNAcentral.
CAGUCGCCGCGGUAACACGGAGGGUGCAAGCGUUAAUCGGAAUUACUGGGCGUAAAGCGUGCGUAGGCGGUUCGUUAAGUCUGUUGUGAAAGCCCCGGGCUCAACCUGGGAAUGGCAAUGGAUACUGGCGAGCUAGAGUGUGUCAGAGGAUGGUGGAAUUCCCGGUGUAGCGGUGAAAUGCGUAGAGAUCGGGAGGAACAUCAGUGGCGAAGGCGGCCAUCUGGGACAACACUGACGCUGAGGCACGAAAGCGUGGGGAGCAAACAGGAUUAGAUACCCCGGUAGUCCCUGUCUCUUAUAC